Molecule: unclassified non-coding RNA, 293 nt
Filed under: uncultured bacterium
Lineage: Bacteria
Description: partial contains 16S ribosomal RNA and 16S-23S ribosomal RNA intergenic spacer region
Rfam family: Bacterial small subunit ribosomal RNA
Source: RNAcentral
GAACCCAUCUUCGGAUGGGGGGCAGUGGCGAACGGGUGAGUAACACGUUGGUGACCUGCCCUGAAGCCGGGGACAACCCUUCGAAAGGAGGGCUAAUACCCGAUGUGUUUGCGCUGUUUAGAAAGGCGCAAAUAAAGUUCCGGCGCUUCAGGAGGGGCCAGCGGCCUAUCAGCUAGUUGGUGAGGUAACGGCCCACCAAGGCAACGACGGGUAGGGGGCGUGAGAGCGUGACCCCCCACAAUGGAACUGAGACACGGUCCAUAGUCCUACGGGAGGCAGCAGUGGGAUCUGUA